CCUACGGGGGGCUGCAGUGGGGGAUAUUGCACAAUGGAGGAAACUCUGAUGCAGCAACGCCGCGUGAGGGAAGAAGGUCUUCGGAUUGUAAACCUUAGUAGUCAGGGACGAAGAAAUGACGGUACCUGAAGAGUAAGCUCCGGCUAACUACGUGCCAGCAGCCGCGGUAAUACGUAGGGAGCGAGCGUUGUCCGGAAUUACUGGGUGUAAAGGGUGCGUAGGCGGGACUGCAAGUCAGGCGUGAAAUACCGGAGCUUAACUCCGGGGCUGCGCUU
This 275-nucleotide ribosomal RNA is filed under the name uncultured bacterium. RNAcentral's name for it is "partial 16S ribosomal RNA". It matches the Rfam family "Bacterial small subunit ribosomal RNA", at positions 338 to 628 of the family's 1533-position model. The record is from RNAcentral.